Molecule: long non-coding RNA, 456 nt
Filed under: Gossypium barbadense (sea-island cotton)
Lineage: Eukaryota; Viridiplantae; Streptophyta; Magnoliopsida; Malvales; Malvaceae
Description: long non-coding RNA (GBAR_LNC020614)
Source: RNAcentral
AUAAACAAGGAUCCGCCCUUCCUAUUUUUCUUCAGCUUCUUUCUUACAUACCUGUGUUUCAACACUCGGAUUAUCUCUCCGGCAACGUCUUCCUGGUGGUGGAAGUGGUGAACACUGAAGGCUAAGUAACAAGUUAGCAAAAUGGGACCUGGAGGGCCGGGAGGAGGGCCGGGAGGACCUGGUGGACCGGGAGGAUGGGGAGGAGGACCUGGUGGUUGGGGUCCUGGCCCCGGAGGACCUGGCGGAUUUGGGCCUGGAGGUCCUGGUUGGGGUCCGGGACCUGGAGGUCCCUGGGGCCCUGGAUUUGGAGGUCCUGGUUUUUGGCCUGGUGGGUUCUUUGGCGGCUUUGCAGAUGGUUUGUGCAAUAUGAUAUCUUCCUGGUAAGCAAUCAAAUCUUUACUCAAUUCCGGUAUAGUUAAAUGCGGUUUGAUUGAGGUUAAAUUUGAUUGGGAUUGC